This is a long non-coding RNA of Triticum dicoccoides, 2285 nucleotides long. RefSeq lists it as uncharacterized. The transcript has 3 exons. NCBI's taxonomy places the organism in Eukaryota, Viridiplantae, Streptophyta, Magnoliopsida, Poales, Poaceae. The record is from RefSeq and is a predicted model, not a curated record.
CCUCCCGAUCCCCAUCCUCUCGUCCACAACCCUAGCCCCUUCCCCUCGAUCCUCAUGGCCCAUCCCUCCUCCUUGCUCGUCACUGCCGCUACCUGCUGCUCCCUCUCCACCAUCGUGCCUGCUUAUUGAUCACAAUAUCCCCUCUACCUGAUUGAGAUCGGGCGUAGGUUAGGCGAGCCCGAUGGUGGGUUGGGUGAGGCUAUAGGGAGAGGGAGGAGGCCGGCGGCGUGGUGAAGGAGUUGACUUGCCCUCGUGGAGGCGGCGCCAUCGGCCAGGGACGGCAUUUGCUCGUCGGACGAUGUCCGAGCUCGUCUCACCCUCACAGCGACGACCAACAACUCAAGUGAAGGGUGAGGGGCCAUCAAGAUCUAGCCCAGGGCAUGCUCCCUGGCGCCCGCACAUAGAGGACUGGCCGCUGGUCGCCGGCUGGUCCUCCUCUUCUCUCCUCGUGCCACCGUCCUGCACCUCCUCCAUCCCUCGAUUCAGCAAAGGCGAUGGAGAUCAAGAACCGGGGCGGCACACAUUGUCCUCCUAUUUCUCCUACCACCAACCCUAGAGAUGGCAGCGGCAAGGAGUUGAGCCAGGUGUCUCGAUGAGGUGGUCCAUGCUGAGGAAGAGGGCGUCCAUAUGUUCCUGUUCAUGGCCUUGUUGUGGUUGCACCAUGGUCCGUAGGGAACAAGAACACCACUACUACAACCCAAGUCUGGACAUGACAUCUCUAUGUGACUGCAUAUUUAAUUUGUACAUCUAUUUGGUUGCACACUACAUAUUUGGUCUUUUUUACAUUUAUUUUUGACUUCAUUUGCGGCUAGCUGACUGCAGCAUGCUUUACUGACUCAUCUAUGGACACACAAGUCAAGGAAAACCAUAUGAGUCUAUUUCGACUGCUUGCCACGGGAAAGUGCCCACUAGAUUCAUAUUUGCUUGAACCAUGAUCAUACCAUUAAAAUGUGUAACUAUGUAUGGAUCAACAAAGUUUACAUUUCGUGCAUUAAGCUGGUUAGGCCCCUUUCAGUGUUGUUCGACCAAUUAGACACUUGUUAUCCUAUCUAAAAUGGUAGUUCAGCUUUCAAUAAUUAGAUUAUAAAUUGGUGUAUGUUUAUUAUGCCUUGUCGUUUCUUUCCCCUUAUUCUUAACGAUUGAUUACCUUUGUUCCAAGAUCCUGUAGGCUGUAGCUGGCCUUCCUUUUGCUAGGAUUUUUUUCUUCCAAAUUUGAUAAUGUAACCUGCUAAAGCAUGAUCAACAGAUUUGUCUAACCAAUUAACAUCUCUCAUUAAUUGUGAGAACCAAGCCAAUGAAAAUGGGCAUGAAUCGGUCUUGUCAAAGUCUACUAUUCAGUGCUUGCAUAUGUUAGAUUGCUGAUGUUCACAAAACUGCAUGUACCUUUUGCCAACAAAAUUGUUGAUGAAUUGCAGAUUUAGAAAAUUAGUUUGGCAUAGCUCAAAACUAUUUUCCUUGACUCAAAUCAAGGUUGUUCGAUAUCAUGAAAUAAGCAACAUGCCUCUUGCGAAACCAUAUUUUAAAUUUGCAAUUUGGAAACUGGGUUUUUGUUUCUCGCGCCUUUUCUUUUAAAACAUCACCAGAACUUAGGGUCACAAUUAAUAGUAAGGUGCAAUCUCAGUCAUUUAGUGACAUACUUCAGUUCAGACUUUGCAGAGCCAGAGUUGUUUAUUAAUACUUUCCGUUACAAUGCCCGCAUCUGUAUACAUAAGUUCUUAUGUUUUUAGAACACUCUAGCUAGGCUUAACUAUUUCUGUUGACAAAUCACAUUCUUAUCUUAAAAUACAUCGAUGAUUACUGGAGUUCCAGAGAAACAUUCUUUUUAUUGUUUCCAGAGAUCAAGAUAUCGCGAACCAUUCAUGGGAUUCAAAGGGAUGUGCAACAUAUGUGGUGCCUUAUUCAAGCUAAGCCGGGUUAUUGAAGCGCCAUAUUAGUGUUUCUUAUUAUCUACCUUGAUGCCAUACUAAUUUCUGUGAUUCCAAAAUUGCUGGCACCACUUCCUAUUGCCUGUUGGUGCAAGGACCCACGCCUUCGAUAUGAGAAAUGUAAAGGAUGGAUCAAUUGGCAUUGCCAGGUCAUGUUUAGUUCUUUGUCUCUUAAACGACAUGCAUCUCUCAACACAAUACUAGGUUAAUGAACUGCUAAAGCUACAAUGUAGAUGCAUUGUGACUUUAUUUUCUAGGUACUAACUUCAGAUGUCCAAUUUGUUACCUGUACCAAUGUAUCCUCAGGAUAUUGACUUUACAUAAACAAUCUGCUGCAUACUAAUGUAUAUUUUUACACAA